Molecule: long non-coding RNA, 522 nt
Organism: Peromyscus eremicus (cactus mouse)
Lineage: Eukaryota; Metazoa; Chordata; Mammalia; Rodentia; Cricetidae
Exons: 2
Source: RefSeq, a predicted model, not a curated record
AGUUGAGUAGAACUCUCAGAAGACAUGUGAAAGUUUCUGUAAAUGAUACAGAGGAUGUAACAAAUAGGAGAAAGGAUUUUGGAAGGGAGUAUCGAGUAUCAUGAAGCCACCUGGACAAUGAGGAGAAACUAGUUCAAAAGCUAGGGAACACCUAAGUCCAAAGGUGCUGGGAUUAUGGAUGUGACUAGAGAUUUUAAGGAUCACUCACUGGUAAUAAGAGUAAUUUCCUCACAAGAUAGCCAUUUUGGAAACCUCAGAAAUUAUGAGGGGACAUUUAACUAUGAUCAAGACCUUGGAAGGAGCAGAUCAUUCUGGGCUAUCAAGCGGCCCUGAGCAUGGAUGCCUGAGCACAAAUAGAGGCCCAACAGGAACAGUGCCACCUACUCCACGGAGCUGCCCUCAGUACUAACAUGAACACUUCAAGGAUGGAUGCAAUGGCAUUACUGACACCUGAUAUUGAUGUUUUGUUGUGUGUGUUUACAAGUUCACAUAUGUGUAUGCAGAUACAUGUUUAUGGUGAUA